Molecule: long non-coding RNA, 529 nt
Organism: Gigantopelta aegis
Lineage: Eukaryota; Metazoa; Mollusca; Gastropoda; Neomphalida; Peltospiridae
Exons: 3
Source: RefSeq, a predicted model, not a curated record
GUCACUAUGGCGUGUACUGUAGUGACGUCACAUCCUACGAUGGUUUUAUCAUUUCGUAGCACUAAGAGAGCUUCAAAAAUAUGGGCCCAGGUAACUAAAUUUGGAAUGGUCGACUAGUCAAAGAAUGCAAAUACGAUGAAAGGAAAUGACAGCAUAUACGUUUUUUGAUAUACCAGUCGUGGUGCACUGGUUGGAACGGGGUGGUGGGGAGCUCAAUCAAAGAAUGGGUCCACUGAGGUGGUUCGAUCCUACGACCCAAGCCUCAAUCGAGCGCUCUACCGACUGAGCAAGAUCACAUCCUAUUACGCAUACACAGAACAUCCUUUGAUAUACCAGACAUGGGACACUGCUUGGCACUGCUGGCGAUCGAACCUGCGACCCAUUACACUCCAGGAAAAUGGUACCAAAGGUUGACUGUUUCAAGAUUGCCGAUCCCACUUUCGUCAGGAAAUGGUACCCGUUGCUCUGAGGAUGUUUUGUUUACUGAACUGAAGAUGGACAACAGAGGCUGACUUCGUCGGGUAGGCAC